RNAcentral lists this ribosomal RNA (815 nucleotides) under uncultured delta proteobacterium. Its description in RNAcentral is "bacterial SSU rRNA". It matches the Rfam family "Bacterial small subunit ribosomal RNA", at positions 163 to 954 of the family's 1533-position model. Lineage: Bacteria; Deltaproteobacteria. The record is from RNAcentral.
CUAAUACCGGAUAAGACCACGAAGUUUCGGCUUCGGGGUCAAAGGUGGCCUCUGCAUGCAAGCUAUCACUCGAAGAUGGGCCUGCGCACCAUUAGCUAGUUGGCGAGGUAACGGCUCACCAAGGCGAAGAUGGUUAGCUGGUCUGAGAGGAUGACCAGCCACACUGGGACUGAGACACGGCCCAGACUCCUACGGGAGGCAGCAGUGGGGAAUAUUGGACAAUGGGGGAAACCCUGAUCCAGCGACGCCGCGUGGGUGAUGAAGGCCUUCGGGUCGUAAAGCCCUGUCUGGGGGGACGAAUCCCCCGCCGGUGAACAAUCGGCGGGAAUGACGGUACCCCCGAAGGAAGCACCGGCUAACUCUGUGCCAGCAGCCGCGGUAAGACAGAGGGUGCUAGCGUUGUUCGGAAUUACUGGGCGUAAAGGGCGCGUAGGCGGUCUGUUAAGUUCGGUGUGAAAUCCCUCGGCUCAACCGAGGAAGUGCGCCGGAUACUGGCAGACUUGAGUACCGGAGAGGAGGGUGGAAUUCCUGGUGUAGCGGUGAAAUGCGUAGAUAUCAGGAGGAACACCGGUGGCGAAGGCGGCCCUCUGGACGAGUACUGACGCUGAGGCGCGAAAGCGUGGGGAUCAAACAGGAUUAGAUACCCUGGUAGUCCACGCUGUAAACGAUGGGGACUAGUGUGGGGGGGGUAUUGACCCCUCCCGUGCCGACGCUAACGCAUUAAGUCCCCCGCCUGGGGAUUACGGCCGCAAGGUUAAAACUCAAAGGAAUUGGCGGGGGCCCGCACAAGCGGUGGAGCAUGUGGUUCAAUUCGA